RNAcentral lists this small RNA (27 nucleotides) under Arabidopsis thaliana (thale cress). Its description in RNAcentral is "ATSL050700". The record is from RNAcentral. Lineage: Eukaryota; Viridiplantae; Streptophyta; Magnoliopsida; Brassicales; Brassicaceae.
AACAGAAGUUAAAAUUGAACAAAAAAA